RNAcentral lists this ribosomal RNA (210 nucleotides) under uncultured prokaryote. Its description in RNAcentral is "partial 16S ribosomal RNA". It matches the Rfam family "Bacterial small subunit ribosomal RNA", at positions 524 to 733 of the family's 1533-position model. The record is from RNAcentral.
GACAGAGGGUGCAAACGUUAUUCGGAUUUACUGGGCUUAAAGAGUUCGUAGGCGGUUCGGUAAGUGAGGUGUGAAAGCCCUCGGCUCAACCGAGGAAUUGCGCUUCGAACUGCCGGGCUCGAGGGAGAUAGAGGUGAGCGGAACUGAUGGUGGAGCGGUGAAAUGCGUUGAUAUCAUCAGGAACACCAGAGGCGAAGGCGGCUCACUGGG